AUGGGUAAAUUUCCAUCCUUCAGCCAGAUGUAUUUUUCCUUGUAGCAUAGACUCGGUAAGCUGCCAGCCCAACGAUUGCCACUGCAGCUCCAACUACAACAGUGAAACAUAACCAUUAACACAGCAGAUAAUUUUUGUUAACAAAAGUUAACAUCAAUAAUUUAGUUAUUCAUUCAAUCGAGGAUCAAUCGACAGAGAAGACUCUGAAAUUUCAUCAAAAGUGAUUUAAUGCACAAUGGUAUAAAAUGUCUAACAGCACAAUAAUCCUGCUUUUAAAGAAAUGAAUAUGACUUCAUAAUUCCAAACCAGUUGCAUUUUAAUCCUUCAAAAAAUUCCAUUUAUAGAACAAACUUGACCCAAUUAUAGAAUUAAGUCACGUCACCAAAAGCCAAAGAUGACCAUUGAGCUUUGCAAGAACACAAAGGCUAGUUUUAACCAGACAAACUCCUAGAAUACAAUAAAUUUUUUCAGCAGUACUAUAAUAAAAAGGUUAAAAAAAAAAACUUCAAAUCAUGUAGAGGGUUAAACACUACCACACUCGAGUGACUGGCAACAUUCAAUCAUAGUUCUGACAACAACUAACUGAUAGGAGAAUAGAAAUAGACCGAGUCCAAUUUCAAAGUGACCAAGAGCAAAUCUAUCAAAGCCCAGUGAAAUUCCAAAACUCAAGUGCUUUAGGAACUUGGUAGUACUAGGAGCUCGGGAGAUUAGC
RNAcentral lists this unclassified non-coding RNA (712 nucleotides) under Hevea brasiliensis (rubber tree). The record is from RNAcentral. Lineage: Eukaryota; Viridiplantae; Streptophyta; Magnoliopsida; Malpighiales; Euphorbiaceae.